UUAGGUAGACAGGAAUUAUACGUGUUUUGUUCAUUGCCACAGCCCCAGUAGUACUGGGAAUAAUAUGCUAUUUGUGUCUUCACUGCAGUAUUUGCUGAAGUGCUGAAGGAGCCAACCAAACUGAAAAGGAACACUGACCUCAUGUGACUCCCCCCCCCACCUCAUCAUUCCCUGUCUUGGGACACAGCACCUGAGACUUGUGAAAGCUUAUCACCCUGUGGAAACUUUCAGGGUUCCUCAGGCUCUGUUUGGAAGGUUCUGUGGUGAUGGAUAUUCUCAGCCACCCCUGUCUCAGAAAUGAAUCAGGAACACGGAUGCUGCUGGAAACCCGAACUCCGCUAAGAAGCUGACUCAACUUCAUUUUCAUUCACAAUCAGAAGCGUAAUGAGCGCUUCAUCACGCCACACCCGGGUGAGGGGCUGAGGACGCAGCUGUGAGCCACAGUCACAAGACCCCACUGCUCUCACAGAACUGGUAUUUUAGAUAAAUUGAUAUUCACAGAGAAAAAAAAAUUGUACAACUUUUCCAUUGGGAACUCGAUCUGUGUUUCCAUGGCAACGCUCUUCCUUUUGCCCAGCCCUCACAUGUAGAAGUGUGGGGUAAUAAGAUCGGCUUUAUCCACCACAAUUAGAUGUCGCACAGGUUUCCUGGAGUGGGGCUAUAAUGGUUUACAAGACUUUCCACCUCUGGCCCACUUUCCUCUUGGUCAUGGGGAACCUGGACAUAGCAUCUGGGGUGUGGGCCGCUCCUGAGGCAGAGAGCCCAGUGAACACACUGAAGGCUUAACUACACCACUGGGAAAUACGAGGGAAAACUGUCCCAAACCCAGAACUCUAAGACUGUGGAAACGCUCAGAAAUGAAAGGUGUGGCUUUCCUAAGCAUUGCCAGCUUUCUCUCCUUCUCAAGCCAAGUCAAACAUGAUACAAUGUAGCUGACUUUCAGACUUCCCACAGGAGGAAGUAUACAUUCUAAACCCAAGUGUGGAAAUCACACUUGGGUCUGGAAGAUGUCUAGUUUGAGCUGCAGGAAGUUAAAUGCAGCUGGUCCCCUCAGGCUUACUCGUGAGCACAUUGAAGAACCAGCUAGGAGACAGGCUGUGUGGAACUGCAGGACGUCGUACUUUACAAGGGGCUGGGGAUCUCUGCAAAAGAGCCUGCCCAACUCCCAAAGCCCGGACAGACACAACCCUGGACACAACCUAAUAGUGUCAGUUUCAUCUGCUUCUGCGGUGUUAGAGAAGUGUUUCUUGCCUUCUUUGUUUGGGUUUUCUAGAUUUCCCCUGACCUGUGCUGAAUCCAUGGUGCUAAGUACUACAUAUAGGAGGGGAAAAAAUGUGACAGAGCCUGUCUGCAAAAGGGGUCAGUGUAGGUGUGAUUGUUAAGGAUUUCAAGACUGAAUCAUUCUUGAUCAUAGUGGGGUCUGAAUUCAACAAGAAAGGAAUAGAAGAAAGGUGGGGGUGAAAAGGGAGGAGAGAGGAGACAGAGAAACACAUUCUCUGUGUUUGAGACAGAUUGGAUGAUUCAUCCACAAGCCAUGAAUUGAAGUGUGGGAUGGACUUCCCCUCUGACUUUGUGCUUCUUGCCUCCAGAACUCUGAAAGUGUGCAUUUCUGUUAGGCUAAUGGGUGUGUAGCACUGUGCUAUGUCACUAGAGGAAACUCAGAGACCUGCUUUCCUCAAUUCUUGUUCUCUGGCUUUGGUCCUUCCUCGCCUGUGUGACAGGGUCACAUCAGGUGUGGGAGAGCAGUGCUGUUGGGAAAGCAUUUUCUCAACGAUGACCUUCUCAGGAGACCCAGCCUCUAACUGAAGCUACCUCUGAGACACCCUCAGGAACAGCCUCUCAGAUGCACUACAGCUGUCUUCAGGAGGACCCAAAAUGAGACUGUAUAGGAACAGAACACAGGGUUCCUCCACCCUUGGCCAGAGUGUGACACUUUUACUGGAGCCCUGUUCUUUCUGUAAAAGGAGAGGCUGUGUCUCUGUGAGUGCCCUUUGUAAGUGACUUUACAUGGUAUUGGGUGUCAGUGCCCUUUGUAAGUGACUUUACAUGGUAUUGGGUGUCAGUGCCCUUUGUAAGUAAGUGACUUUACAUGGUCCUGGGUGAAUUUAAAAGAGAAAUGGAAUUUAAAGCAAUAGUUUGAGCAAACCUUGUACACUGUAGCACUCUUAAGGAUAUUUUGCUUUCUGUGUGGUUGUUGGCGAGUGUCCAUAACAGGAAACAGAGCCAUACUUUCAGGAGGCUUUCUCUG
Long non-coding RNA from Mus musculus (house mouse), 2248 nucleotides. RefSeq annotates it as predicted gene, 31078. The record is from RefSeq and is a predicted model, not a curated record. The transcript has 3 exons. NCBI's taxonomy places the organism in Eukaryota, Metazoa, Chordata, Mammalia, Rodentia, Muridae.